GAUUAACGCUGGCGGCGUGCAUAACACAUGCAAGUCGAACGAUGAAACUUAAAUGAUUUCUUCGGAAUGAACUUAAGUGGAUUAGUGGCGGACGGGUGAGUAACGCGUGAGUAACCUGCCUUACACAAGGGGAUAGCCGUUGGAAACGACGAAUAAUACCCUAUGAAACUAUCACUUCGCAUGAAGCGAUAGUCAAAGUGUUAGCGGUGUAAGAUGGACUUGCGUCUGAUUAGCUAGUUGGUGAGAAAAAAGCCCACCAAGGCAACGAUCAGUAGCCGGCUUGAGAGAGUGUACGGCCACAUUGGGACUGAGACACGGCCCAGACUCCUACGGGAGGCAGCAGUGGGGAAUUUGGCACAAUGGGGGAAACCCUGAUGCAGCGACGCCGCGUGAUUUAGAAGGCCUUCGGGUUGUAAAAAUCUUUUGUAUAGGAAGAAAAUGACAGUACUAUACGAAUAAGGUCCGGCUAAUUACGUG
This 477-nucleotide ribosomal RNA is filed under the name uncultured bacterium. RNAcentral's name for it is "partial 16S ribosomal RNA". It matches the Rfam family "Bacterial small subunit ribosomal RNA", at positions 28 to 507 of the family's 1533-position model. The record is from RNAcentral.